GAUGAACGCUGGCGGCGUGCCUAACACAUGCAAGUCGAGCGAAGCACUUACUUUAGAUUUCUUCGGAAUGACGAAGUUUGUGACUGAGCGGCGGACGGGUGAGUAACGCGUGGGCAACCUGCCCUGUACAGGGGGAUAACAGUUAGAAAUGACUGCUAAUACCGCAUAAGCCCACAGCUUCGCAUGAAGCAGUGGGAAAAACUCCGGUGGUACAGGAUGGGCCCGCGUCUGAUUAGCUAGUUGGUAAGGUAACGGCUUACCAAGGCGACGAUCAGUAGCCGACCUGAGGGGUGACCGGCCACAUUGGGACUGAGACACGGCCCAAACUCCUACGGGAGGCAGCAGUGGGGAAUAUUGCACAAUGGGGGAAACCCUGAUGCAGCGACGCCGCGUGAGCGAUGAAGUAUUUCGGUAUGUAAAGCUCUAUCAGCAGGGAAGAAAGUGACGGUACCUGACUAAGAAGCCCCGGCUAACUACGUG
RNAcentral lists this ribosomal RNA (480 nucleotides) under uncultured bacterium. RNAcentral's name for it is "partial 16S ribosomal RNA". It matches the Rfam family "Bacterial small subunit ribosomal RNA", at positions 28 to 507 of the family's 1533-position model. The record is from RNAcentral.